Molecule: ribosomal RNA, 494 nt
Filed under: uncultured bacterium
Lineage: Bacteria
Description: partial 16S ribosomal RNA
Rfam family: Bacterial small subunit ribosomal RNA
Source: RNAcentral
GACGAACGCUGGCGGCGUGCUUAACACAUGCAAGUCGAACGGAAAGGCCUGUCCUUCCUUGUGUUGGACGGGUACUCGAGUGGCGAACGGGUGAGUAACACGUGAGUGAUCUGCCGCCAACUUGGGUAUAAGCUGGGGAAACUGGGUCUAAUUCGCGAUAGGACUGCAGGGUGGGGCCUGUGGUGGAAGACGAUUUGGUAGUGGUUGGGGAUGAGCUGGCGGCCGAUCAGCUUGUUGGUUGGGUAAUGGCCUACGAAGGCGGGGACGGGUAGCCGGCCUGGGAGAGUCGGCGGGCACAUUGGGACUGCGAUACGGCCCAGACUCCUACGGGAGGCAGCAGUGGGGAAUAAGGAGCAAUGAGCAGAAGACUGAUGCCGCAACGCCGCGUGGGGAAUGACGGCCUUCGGGUUGUGACCUCCUUUCGACCGACAGGAAGCCGCCUGGUUGGAAGGGUGGUGACGGUAGUGGUAGAAGAAGCACUGGCUAACUACGUG